Molecule: small nuclear RNA, 106 nt
Organism: Erinaceus europaeus (western European hedgehog)
Lineage: Eukaryota; Metazoa; Chordata; Mammalia; Eulipotyphla; Erinaceidae
Source: Ensembl
GAAGUCAGAGCGCAGCACAUAUACUAAAAUUGGAACGAUACAGGGAAGAUUAGCAUGGUCCCUGCACAAGAAUAACGUGCAAAUUCAUGAAGCAUUCCAUAUUUAA